GAAUACGUGCUACUUGUAAAAGAUCUCCCAGUUUCUUAGUAGAGAAAUUGCUAACACCAAUAACUCUAGCCUUCCCGGAAUCAUAAACUUUUUCCAUUGCUUCCCAUAUGCUGGGUAUGUUGGUUGGCAUAAGAUUUUCAGGUUUAAAGUCAACUGAUCCAGGCUUCAUACUGACAGGCCAAUGGAUCUAUAGAAACAAAAGUCUCAAUUUAUUUACAAGGAUACCAUUUAAUACAGAAAAAACAAAAGAACAAGUAAAUCACUUAAAUUUAUAAAACUAAUAAUGAACUCUCUUUUGAUGUUUAAAUUUUUUCCAAGAUAUGUAGCAGUUCAACGGCAGUAUUUAUAGUUCUCAGGAGCAUCGUGGCAGCUCUAAAAUUUCGUUCUGGUGCAUCUACUUAAGGGAAGAGUGGGAGUAUAUUGCAGUGAACACUUCUUAGAAGUACAUUAUAUUAAUUUAGUAAUAUGGCUAUGAACUAUUUAGCAAAGUUAGAAAUACUAGCAGAAAGAAAGCUUCACAUUAAGAAGAACUUACGAGGUACAGGUCAACGUAUUCCAGCUGCAAGUCUUUAAGAGUUUUGUCUAGUGUGACUGGUACAUCUUCAGGUGCAUGAUUAGUGUUCCUAAAAAUGUUAAUACACUUGAAUGUAUGAGUAUCCUGAAACACUAUGGAGACCAUGAUGGAAAAAACAGAGGCCCAUCAGCACCAUUUUAGUGCUAAAAGCAGAGUAGGUAUUGAAUUACCAAGCUAUCAGGACACAUAAAUGAUAAAAGAGGGAACUCAACAAUGAUAAACAAAAGACCAAUGGUAAAAGAUUGAUGAGAAUAACUCCACAAAGUUGAACAAGUUAACUUCAUAAUGGAAAGAAAUUGACUCAGCAUAUUUCAAUUUUAGGGCGAACAACAGGGAGGUAAGUUGUAAUAGGAAUGUUUGAAUACAUACCAGAGUUUGGAUGUAAUGAAUAGAUCUUGCCUCUUGACAACACCAUCUUUAAACAGCCUGCUCAAAACUUCACCAAUCUUUGAAGAAGAAAAAAAUGAGACAAGGAAAUAUAUGUAGUGACAGGUUAUUCUAGAAAGCAGGACAUGUUUUACAUUCUAACAAAAUGAAACUUUGUUUGAACAAAUUUAACAAAACAGACCAGAAAAUGUUAAUGACAGAUUGAUCUGGAAACAAAUGAUAAUCAUUGAUCACCUUUCCCUAGGCAAAAGAUGAAGUCCAAAACCAUCAAAGAUUGACACAAGAUUUUUCCACAAGACCUUAAUAGUAUAGGCAGAAUGUCUAUCACAUCAAUAGGGCACCUAAAGUGCCACCUUAAUGGCUACUUUGCAUAUGUACUGAUUUUUCAGAUCUUAACAUAAAGCGAUAAUUUCCCAUGUUGCAGCAAUAUUUAGGGAACAGUACACAAGAUACAUUAAAGCCGCAUUUACACUUAAAAUUGAGAUUUGUAAGUGAUAACUUGAUAAGCCCCUCUAUCAUGCCGUCUCAGUGCAAGACAGCCACUGGAUGCAAAAAAACAAGCUAUUAUUUUUACUUUAUUUUAGGAAGUAAAUAAAUAAGUGUCCCUCCCCAAUGAUUUAAAAUCCUUUCAGACAAGAUAGUCAUACAGUUUGACAUGAUCUCCGACCCAUCAACAGAUUAUCUACACAUGUUCGUCCCUAAAACGAACAUGGCCGACAAAUAAAGGGGUGUGUUGUAGAUAUAAAAUAAAUAAUAAAAGUGUCAUUUCCGCUUUUAGAUGAGAGAACCACUUCAAUACUAUGCAAUGUUCAGUAUGAUUAAAGCCAAAUUACCUCCUUCUCAUUUUUAUAAAUUUGAGCACAAUCAAUAUGCCGGUAACCCAUCUGUAGCAAAAAGAAGAGAAUGAUUAGGUUGUGCCAGAAUGCCAAAAUCACUAAGUUGCAAGUGACACUUCAAAGUGGUUGAACUCUUAGAACUACUCCAAAGUUACUUUAGUAGCAUUGUAGUAACAUAACUUCUUAACAUCUAUUUUGGCCAUUACAAGUAAGAACUACGAUACAGAAAAUAAUUCUCAAAGAAGAGCAAUGCACCCACUAAUAUAUACAUUUCCAUAAACUCAAAUAAAAGUUAGACCCAUGCACAAUUUCAUCACUAAGCAUAUGUGGGAAGUGGGAACACAUAUUUCCUUCACUUUUUUCCACAUUUGAACGGGAUACCAGUGUAAUCUUCUACAAAUACUCUAGGAAAGUAUAUAUUAAAGGGAAAAAGCAUUCAGAAUAUGUAUCUCUAAUUUUGAAUCCGACCACCUCCAAUAGUAAGAGCUUCUACUCAUUGUUUUCAAAUUCAUAAACAAACACCACGUCCAGAGAGAACACUGCUGUUUACCAGAGACAAUCUCUCUGCCCUCGAUACUAACUAUUUAAUCUUUUCACACCUAGAGACUUAAGGAAUAUAGCACUAUUUCCAAUCAAACAUAGUGCUCACUCAAUAACAUUUCAUGUGACAUACUUUCCUUUACACUCUUAUCGCAAAAAAAAAUUGACACCUUUCAACUUUAGAAACAAAUUCAUUUUACCCUUAAUGAAAUUAUUACAAUGUUUAUGACUUGUAUACCACAACUCUCAAAAGUUUUUUCCUUUCUUAAACUAUGUCCACAGAAGUCUUUUGUGUUCUGAGGCAUAAUCCACUCCAUAGUCAGCUUAGGAUACUAAUAAAUUAAGGACGAGUACCAGCAGAACAUAGCAAAACACAUAUAUCCAUCUUUAUUCAUAUGAGUUUUUUCCCCUAAACUUAAUUGAAACAACUAAACAAAAAUUAACAGUUUAGCGCCAACUUUAUGCACUGCAAUUUUGAUAGAGAUCGUUUGCACUAUAUUAUAAAAGCGGAAUGCGUUUUCUAUAUGAUGUAAGUCUCUACCGAAGUGUUUGUUAUAUAUUUUAAAUUACGAAUAAUAAAUCUUAAAUUAUAAACUAAAAUCUCAGCAGUAUAUACUACUUAUUACACAUGCGUUUUCAUGCUUUUCUCAAGACUUAUGAAGUAUUUGGAGACGCAAAACAAGCAUUCACGAAAUUUCACUCUAUAAAACAUAAGUCACAGAAGCUCGAAUCACGUUAGAUCGAGUCUCGUUGAAGAAGAAAAACAAAGUAUCAACUGUUAAUUCGUAAGUAAUUAAAUCUACAUAGAUAGAAACUAAAACUACAGAUACACAGAUAUAUGGCGAGAGAUAGACAGAAAAAACCUUGAUAGCAGUCUCCACAGCUUUGCCGACGACACCGGGAUCGGACUGCCAUGUUCCCAAACCGACCGCCGGAAUGCUGAAACCGGUAUUCAACUUAAAGUACGGCAUCUCCGUCGCCUCCGCCAUUGAUACAAAAAGAGGAGGGAAAUUGAAAAAAAAGAUAGUGAACCGUAUACUGCCAAAGAGAGAAAAAGUUAUUGAUGAGUACAGAGUAGCAAUGCGAAUUGAACUUUGCACUUCCCCUCUCCUUAUAUAUAUAUUAUGUAAAAGAAAUGAAGAUAAUGUGUCAGUUACAACUGUUCCCUUCUGAAGCUGACACAUGGUUUGUCAUUUCACUGUAGUCAGAACGAUUUGUCGACUUUUGUCGUUAUUCUAGAUGGUUAUUUUUGGGGGAAAUGCGAAGGUCUUUUUCAAAAAAUUAAUCUGUCAUUCAUUAGACGGCAGAAUCUUGUCUAAAUAAAUCAAUUCUAGAUUUGGAAAAAGGGCUCAUAACGAAGGCCGUACAAAAAUUGAUUUAAUCGAUUUAUCAAAUCGAAUCAAAAAAGAUAUUAUUAAUUUAUGAGAAAAAUAUUUAAAAAAUAUUUUUAAAUUUGACGUCGAUUAUUAGUUUUAUCUCUAAAUUAUUAAUGGUCUUAAAAACAUUCAUCUACUUGACUAACUAAACUUAAAUACACACAUGACAUAGCAAGUAGUCAAACUCUUGUAGAGGCAUGGAGCUCUUAAUAAAACAUCAAGGGAAGGGUUGAAAGCACUUCUAAAUUUGACGAGAAUUUAGGAGUGUAUUUCCCUCAUUAUGCAAGAUCGGGAUAUAUUUAAGUUCAAUUAGUCAAUUAAAGGAGUGUUUUUUCUAGUUGACAAUAGUUAGGGAAUGAAACUAGGCAAGAAAGGAUGAUGUGGAGGUCAUACCCGAAGACGUCUUGCUCGAUACAGAGUGGGUUACGAAGGUUAGAGCGAGGAUGAACGCAGUUGAGAUACUAGGUCAACGCUUGGAAAAGGUAGAAGGCACUCUAAGCGUUCUUGAGGGGCACACUCUCGAGAAGAUUGAGAUCAUCUGAAAUGAUUUGGAUGGCAUACACAAAAGGUAAAACCAAGAUAGAGAUAAGGCAAAUUAUCGUUACUUUAGAGUAGUCGUUGAGCACUAAUGAUACCAUGAAGGUAAAAAUGGAGGUACUCAAAGAGCAGGUUAACGUUGGCGUGACUGAGACAAUCAGAAAUAUUGUGGUGAUGAGGGAGGCUAAAGACAAUUUAUGGUAUUUUGAUUUUGAGAUAUUGCAAAACACAUAGCAUAAUUAUUGGUGUUAUAUACCACAAAUAUACAGUUGAAAAUAAAAUGAUAAAAAUGAAUAAAAAAUAUAUUCAGACUGAGCCGCGGAUAUCUCACAUUCUUUAAGAAGAUUCAAUCUCAUUGUGGCAUAAUUUACACAGAUCCAACAAUAUCACUCUUGACUUGUCAUCUUCCGAAUACCACAACUCAACAGUAUCGUACAACUCGAACAACUCUCGGUUAAUUGAAGAGUUCAAAAGUCCACAAAAAGAAUAUCUUCCUUCACCAUAUUACUCUCUUUUGUAUAAUGAAUUAGUUGAAGACUUAAAAUACUAUUAUUUAUCUUAACUCUCUCUUUCACUACAGUAAUUCAAUAUAUACAUAAUACAAUACUUCUCGUCUCUUCUUACACUUUUCUUUUGUUUUUAAUACAAAGUAAGAGCACACUAUUUAUAAGUGAAGAAUUUUUCAUUGCAAUAAAUAGAAAGAUUAUGAGUAGUAAUUAGAUAAAUAAAUAAUCCAAAAUUUAUAUGAAUUACUAACAUAAUUAAUAAGAUAGAAUAAUGAGUUGAAUUUUCAUAGCUGAUAGCAACAAUAAAUUUUCAUAAGUAAUAAUAAAUUUUCAUAAGUAAAGUUUGGACUUUUAUAUUUGUUAGUUAAUUUUACAUGUUUAUGUACUAAGUUUGACUUAUCCAUGUUCAGAACAUUAUAAAAUUAGCAUAUUUUGUACUUCUGGCUUGCAAAAUAGUUUAUUUUUACCUCUUUUUCACUAACGAAGCCAUUAAAAAAAUUAAUAAAUAUGGAAAACGUCCAAAUUCGGCUCUCUAAUUUGUGAAGUAUUUACUUUAGCCCUCAGUAUAAUAAUAUUAUCUUUUCUCACUAAGAGCUCCACUUUGAACCACAAUUUUAUGCAUGUUAAAAACUACAAAAUUAUACUUGACCAUUAAUUGAACCACCUCUUAAUUACUACUUUACUACCGUUGUUUACUCAUUGCAUGUGUUACAACACAUUAGUCAGUAACAGGAGAAGACUGAGACAGGAACUAAAAAUAGCACUGCCAAGUGAAAUUUAAGCAUGCUAUGUGUGUGUGUUAGUUUCAUGUCAUGCGUGCGCUUGAUUCAAGUAGUAUGAGAAACACGUUCAAUUGCCAAGUAUUAACAGUGAUGUUUAAACCCUCAAAUAUUCUGUUUUUUUUUUUCCUUUCCCCGUCUGAUGGACAAAACUAAAAGUACUUAAUUCAUCCACCAAACGAAAGGAAGGAGACAUAGCCUCACCAGGAGCAUAGUAUUUAACUACUCCACAAUAAAAGAUGACUGCAAAAGUUGAUGGUUUAGGGGUAGUAUUAUCCCAGCAAAUCAAAUUUUUGAAUACUGUCUCGUAGUUGAAUGGUUUUCCAGCAUAGAGUCAAUAGAGGGAUAGGGGGUGCAAGGAAACCUACAUCUAAUGGUUUGAAAAUUCAUCGAUCACCAAAAGUUCAAAGGAAAAGGAAGUGCACAAGAAGCUUGAAUCUCUGAGACAAAUGGAUUAAGAUUUGCCUAUCUUUGACAGUUAACUCAUACUGUGACCUUAGAUCUCAUCAUCCCACAGCUCUUCAAGUGUUCUGUACUGGCCAUGCGUCUCGUGAACAAAUGAAAUGCCUCUCAGCAGCCUUGCCUGCAAUGUCAAUAAAUCCAUGAACUGCAUUAAUAGAGUUUGUGAUCAAAAUAUCUGGUAAACAGACUUAUAUAGACACUUAUCGCAACCAUCCAGGAAGUUUAAAGAGUAUAAGUGAGGCAGGGCACAGAUAAAAGGGGAUUUCAUUUUCUUUUGGUCCCGAUGGGGUGUUGUCUAACUAGCACACCGCAGUAUAUGGUCAUGCAUAUUAGACGUUCGUUUGACAGUAUGAAUCUGUCACAAGUAAGAGGUAUCAAAGCAUCUAUUUGUAAAUUAUAUGAAUGUCACCAAGCGGUAUCAAAGAAGUCAUGAAUACAAGUCUGACAGAGAUUCAUUAUGUGCAAUGCAAGUCUCAUUCGUGUUUCUUUCUUCAUUUUUAUUUACUUUUCCCUUGGAACAUGGAUUGCUAUCUCAGAGAAGAUAUACAGCCAAUUUCUAGGUCCGUUUGCACUUUUCAAAUUUGAAAUUAAUAUGAUAAGAGAGAACAAAUUUACAAUUGCAAUCUCAGUAAUAUCAAAAGAAAUUGCCAUAACAAUGAAAGAAUUUACCUGUGGAAUUUCAGAGAACCUGGCAAGCAAGUCAUCAGGUAUAGACCAGUUCAGUACAUCAAGAUUCUCUUUAAUCCGUGCUUCAUGUGUGCUCUUAGGAAGUACACUCUGACCCAUCUGAAUGCCCCAACGAAGACAAACCUGUGCAGGAGUCUUGCCCAAUUUCUCAGCAACUGAGAUUACAGCUGGCUGCUUUAGCACAUCACUUUUAAGCCAUGUUGUACCUGGAGACCCAAGCGGCGAAUAUGCCUGAAAUAAAAAGGUGUCGAGAAAAGGAGUAAAAACAGUAACUCAUUGUCAAUCUACUCAUGUAGACAGAUGACUAGUCAAUGGUUACCAACAACCAAACUCAUGGAACAAAUAAAUUCAUCCCCUAUGAACAAUUGUUCACAGUAAUCAGAAGAAAAUGGAAAUUGGAGAAAAAUCUAAUGAAAACUUGACCACAAUGUACACAAGGGGUACAAGAGCUUUAGAAAUGAACUCACAGAGAGGUGCACUUCAUUGGAUUUACAGAACUCGCGCAAUUUGGCUUGUUGCCACGAAGGAUGGCACUCCACCUGGUUGACAGCAGGACGAAUACGUGCUACUUGUAAAAGAUCUCCCAGUUUCUUAGUAGAGAAAUUGCUAACACCAAUAACUCUAGCCUUCCCGGAAUCAUAAACUUUUUCCAUUGCUUCCCAUAUGCUGGGUAUGUUGGUUGGCAUAAGAUUUUCAGGUUUAAAGUCAACUGAUCCAGGCUUCAUACUGACAGGCCAAUGGAUCUAUAGAAACAAAAGUCUCAAUUUAUUUACAAGGAUACCAUUUAAUACAGAAAAAACAAAAGAACAAGUAAAUCACUUAAAUUUAUAAAACU
RNAcentral lists this long non-coding RNA (7519 nucleotides) under Solanum tuberosum (potato). Its description in RNAcentral is "long non-coding RNA (STUB_LNC008661)". Lineage: Eukaryota; Viridiplantae; Streptophyta; Magnoliopsida; Solanales; Solanaceae. The record is from RNAcentral.